This 349-nucleotide unclassified non-coding RNA is filed under the name fungal sp. Its description in RNAcentral is "partial internal transcribed spacer region". The stretch from base 1 to 46 matches the Rfam family "Eukaryotic small subunit ribosomal RNA", at positions 1786 to 1831 of the family's 1831-position model. The record is from RNAcentral. Lineage: Eukaryota; Fungi.
AAGUCGUAACAAGGUUUCCGUAGGUGAACCUGCGGAAGGAUCAUUAACACGUAUCCAACGUUAAACCCCCCGUGAACUUUUAUUGCGAACCACGCCUUUGUUAGAAAGUAGCAAUCCCUGGUAAAUCAUCGCCGAACAGUUUGAGCGGUUGUAGCGCGAGGUAAGUGGCCUGGCAUUCCUCUGCUUGUUAGUGUCUGACAGUGUCACUAGCUCUGUACGAAUGGCGCAGUCACGAUCGCUAGAGGCCGACACGGCCGGCGACCGGGUCACCGGGCAUAGACCCGGGCCUGCGCUUAAUUGUGCGGCCACCAAACUCGAACAACUGUUAACAAUGGAUAUCUUGGUUCUC